UACGGGGGGGGCAAGCGUUGUUCGGAAUUACUGGGCGUAAAGCGUGCGCAGGCGGCCUCUUAAGUCAGAUGUGAAAUCCCCGGGCUUAACCCAGGAACUGCGUCCGAUACUGGUUGGCUUGAAUCCGGGAGAGGGAUGUGGAAUUCCAGGUGUAGCGGUGAAAUGCGUAGAUAUCUGGAGGAACACCGGUGGCGAAGGCGACAUCCUGGACCGGUAUUGACGCUGAGGCGCGAAAGCCAGGGGAGCAAACGGG
This 253-nucleotide ribosomal RNA is filed under the name uncultured bacterium. RNAcentral describes it as "partial 16S ribosomal RNA". It matches the Rfam family "Bacterial small subunit ribosomal RNA", at positions 524 to 776 of the family's 1533-position model. The record is from RNAcentral.